UUUUGCCCCAAAAUUUUUGCACCAUUUGCAAUCUGGUCCUUUUGGCACAAAGGUGCAAUUUGCGCACCUACCCCCAAUUUUCCGGCAGUUGGCGUGGGUGGUGGCCCUCUCCUCAACCACUACCUGCAAAAGCAAACAAAAUCAACAAUAAAAGGGGUUUUUUCCCCAAAAAUUCGGAGGAAGAAAAGGGCAAGAGAAAAAUAGAAAACGUAAUAAAAAAGAGAAAAAAAUAGCAAACGAAGCCAAAACAACAAAAUAAUAACACAACUGUGCCCCAACACCGCCGUGGCCACCGUCGUUCCUUACCUUUCCUCCUCCACCGUUGCCUCCCCCUAAAAUAAAUAGACAAAACAAGAAAUAAAAAGAAUGAGAGAAGAGUAGGAAGAAGGCGAAAGGAAGAAAAAAAAGAGAAGAAAAGGCUAGGGUUUUAAGAAGAAAAGGGAAAGAAAAGAAGAAAGAAGAAAAAAGAAAAAAGGAAAAAAGAAGAAAAAAGGAAGGAAAAAGAAAGAAUAAAGAAAGAAUAAAAAAGAAAAAUUUAAAAAUAUAAAAAUAUAUAAAGGAUCGAUCGGAUCCGAACCGACCCGACCACCGACCCGACCCAACCCGACUUCC
RNAcentral lists this long non-coding RNA (612 nucleotides) under Gossypium raimondii (Peruvian cotton). RNAcentral describes it as "long non-coding RNA (GRAI_LNC005550)". The record is from RNAcentral. Lineage: Eukaryota; Viridiplantae; Streptophyta; Magnoliopsida; Malvales; Malvaceae.